GUGAGCGCCCUAAUUUUAUUCGACGAAAGAGACAUUCUGUCGAGCACAAAUUCACGAAGCUUCUUUCCUUUUCUCAAUUCGCCGCGGUGUCCGUCCUCUAAUAUCGCAUUAUCGGAAUCUAUGUCAAGAAAGCUGCAAUACGAACUCUCCGGUUGAGUCCUCAUUUCUCCUCUCGGUCAGGCAAAUCUCACCCCGACGAACUUUCUCAACCAGAGAUCGACCUCAAUCUGGCGAAAGGGAGACCACCAUACGCACAAUGCGUUGCAGUUGCAAAAAGCAUGGUAAAGUGAAAUGCUCACAUUGCUCCCAACAAAUUUGACGAUUCCAUCUUGCAUUUGGGUUCAAAGCCAAGAUGACUUCUGUGAGGGAGAACACUAUAUGCAGCAAGAUGCAUUGCAGUCACAAAAAGCAUGGCAGAGUGAAAGGCUCACAUUGCACUAACAACUUUGAUGAUUCCAUCUUGCAUUUGGGUUCAAAGCUAAGAUGACUUCUGUGAGGACUAUGGAUGUUGUCAGGGAUCUGUAUGUGGCCAGCCUCGUCCAGAGACACGUUAUGUAUCUAUGGGAGAAGUAUUGAUCGAAGGAUGUAUGGGUGGGGGAAAGAUCCACCCACAUUGACCAACCAUGGAUCAGCUCGUGCUUCCGUAGGACUGGUUUUUAUUAUACCCACAAACCUGGUGGUGUUGGGCUUAAGUUGGAUUUGCCCUUAUCACACCUUCCAUCUCACGAUUGGCGAGGUGAUAGUGAAGCUAUAAGACGUGGGGGUGUGUUAUCAUAUGGGGUUAUGAUAGACGGGUUGUUAGAUAUGGGAACAACGGACUAGCAAUGGUUGGCACUUUGUGAGUAGUUGCUUUGCAAGUGUUCCACUAAGUUACCAAGUAGUUGCUUUACCACACAAUUGGGAAAGUCAUGCAAGGGUAUGCUCGGAGCAUAUAUCUUAUGCAUUGUUAAAGAAAUGCUGCUAGUAAGCUAAGCUUGCAGACAGGCCCAACUCAUAUACUUACCAUUGCUCUGAGAUCUUGACCAAUACGGCACUUCAAGAGGAAUCUGCUGUGGUGGUCGAGAUCUCAGAGCAAUGGAAAGUAUAUUAGUUGGGCAUUGCCUGCAGACUUGCUUGGUAGCAGCACUUCUUUGACAAUACAUAUGAUAUAUGCUCGCGCAUAUCGUUGCAUGACCUUCUCAAUUGCGUCAUUUGUCAAAUGGGCAAAAUGCUUCCAUAUCAACGUGAUCUUCAGCGAUGACCCGAUCGGACUCUGCUCCCCGACUUGGGUCUCUACUCACAAAGUGCCAGCCAUGGGUACUUAGUUGUCCUCGUUACUGGUUGCUUGUCUACACAUACCCCCAUGAUAAUCCCCCUAUCCCAUAGUCACUACCCUCUUGCCCAACACUUAGACGGAAUGUGUGGAGGGUUUGGUAAUCGAAUUUAUUUGCAAUGUAACCGAACUAAUGGAAGUUUUGAAUUAACUAUAUUAGUGGAAACGAUUGUAAAAUAUUUAAAUGGUCAGGAAAAGUGGGUUCUUUUUUUUUUUUUUUUU
This is a long non-coding RNA of Diospyros lotus (date-plum), 1534 nucleotides long. RefSeq lists it as uncharacterized. Lineage: Eukaryota; Viridiplantae; Streptophyta; Magnoliopsida; Ericales; Ebenaceae. The transcript has 4 exons. The record is from RefSeq and is a predicted model, not a curated record.